GACGAACGCUGGCGGCGUGCCUAAUACAUGCAAGUCGAGCGGAACUGGGGGAGCUUGCUCCUUCCAGUUUAGCGGCGGACGGGUGAGUAACACGUGGGCAACCUGCCCUGCAGAUCGGGAUAACUCCGGGAAACCGGUGCUAAUACCGAAUAGUUUGGCGCCUCUCCUGAGGCGCUACGGAAAGACGGUUUCGGCUGUCACUCCAGGAGGGGCCCGCGGCGCAUUAGCUAGUUGGUGGGGUAACGGCCCACCAAGGCGACGAUGCGUAGCCGACCUGAGAGGGUGACCGGCCACACUGGGACUGAGACACGGCCCAGACUCCUACGGGAGGCAGCAGUAGGGAAUCUUCCGCAAUGGACGCAAGUCUGACGGAGCAACGCCGCGUGAGUGACGAAGGUUUUCGGAUCGUAAAACUCUGUCGUGAGGGAAGAACACGUACCAACUAACUAUUGGUACCUUGACGGUACCUCACCAGAAAGCCACGGCUAACUACGUGCCAGCCGCCGCGGUAA
Molecule: ribosomal RNA, 512 nt
Filed under: uncultured bacterium
Lineage: Bacteria
Description: partial 16S ribosomal RNA
Rfam family: Bacterial small subunit ribosomal RNA
Source: RNAcentral